CAGUAGCCGCGGGAAUACGAAGGUCCCGAGCGUUGUUCGGAAUCACUGGGCGUAAAGGGAGCGUAGGCGGCGUGGUAAGUCAGAUGUGAAAUCCCGGGGCUCAACCCCGGAACUGCAUCCGAUACUGCCGUGCUAGAGGAUUGGAGAGGUAGCUGGAAUUCUUGGUGUAGCAGUGAAAUGCGUGGAGAUCAAGAGGAACACUCGUGGCGAAAGCGAGCUACUGGACAGUAUCUGACGCUGAGGCUCGAAGGCCAGGGUAGCGAAAGGGAUUAGAUACCCGUGUAGUCCCUGUCUCUUAUAC
Molecule: ribosomal RNA, 301 nt
Filed under: uncultured bacterium
Lineage: Bacteria
Description: partial 16S ribosomal RNA
Rfam family: Bacterial small subunit ribosomal RNA
Source: RNAcentral